ACUGCAAGUAUGACUAUCGCUUUGAUAAACUCAAAGAGGAAAGUCCGGACAGCAUAGAGCAACAUACCAUCUAACAGAUGGGCUUGCGUUUUUAGCAAGUAAGAAAGUGCCACAGAAAAUAACCGUCUUGCUUUAUGUAAGAUAAGGGUGAAAACGUGAGGUAAGAGCUCACGAGUUUUGAUGGUAACAUCAAAAUUGGGUAAACCUUAUGUGCUGAAAUGCCAAAUAAGUGAGCGUUUGAGAACUGCUCGUUUGAUGCUCAUGGGUAGGCAGAUACAUGCAAUUGGUAACAAUUGUGGUAGAUAAAUGAUAGUCUUCAUGUUUGUUAAAACUUGAAACAGAAUCCGGCUUAUAUACUUGCAGUUUUU
Molecule: RNase P RNA, 368 nt
Filed under: Chitinophagaceae bacterium
Lineage: Bacteria; Pseudomonadati; Bacteroidota; Chitinophagia; Chitinophagales; Chitinophagaceae
Description: RNase P RNA component class A
Rfam family: Bacterial RNase P class A
About the family: Ribonuclease P (RNase P) is a ubiquitous endoribonuclease, found in archaea, bacteria and eukarya as well as chloroplasts and mitochondria. Its best characterised activity is the generation of mature 5'-ends of tRNAs by cleaving the 5'-leader elements of precursor-tRNAs.
Source: RNAcentral